RNAcentral lists this small nuclear RNA (197 nucleotides) under Gigantopelta aegis. RNAcentral's name for it is "U2 spliceosomal RNA". It matches the Rfam family "U2 spliceosomal RNA". From Rfam's summary of the family: U2 is a small nuclear RNA (snRNA) component of the spliceosome (involved in pre-mRNA splicing). Complementary binding between U2 snRNA (in an area lying towards the 5' end but 3' to hairpin I) and the branchpoint sequence (BPS) of the intron results the bulging out of an unpaired adenosine, on the BPS, which initiates a nucleophilic attack at the intronic 5' splice site, thus starting the first of two transesterification reactions that mediate splicing. The record is from RNAcentral. Lineage: Eukaryota; Metazoa; Mollusca; Gastropoda; Neomphalida; Peltospiridae.
AUCGCUUCUCGGCCUUUUGGCUAAGAUCAAAGUGUAGUAUCUGUUCUUAUCAGCUUAAUAUCUGAUACGUCCUCCAUUGGGGGACAUCGAUAUUAAACUGAUUUUUGAAAGGGGGGUUGAGGUGCCCGGGGCUUGCUCCGCCCUCAACACACGGGUUGACCCGGUAUUGCAGUACUUCCGGGAAUGGCCCACCCACU